UUAUUACUUCCUCAAAUAAGA
RNAcentral lists this non-coding RNA (21 nucleotides) under Caenorhabditis elegans. The record is from RNAcentral. Lineage: Eukaryota; Metazoa; Nematoda; Chromadorea; Rhabditida; Rhabditidae.